Long non-coding RNA from Parus major (Great Tit), 1778 nucleotides. RefSeq lists it as uncharacterized. NCBI's taxonomy places the organism in Eukaryota, Metazoa, Chordata, Aves, Passeriformes, Paridae. The transcript has 3 exons. The record is from RefSeq and is a predicted model, not a curated record.
CUGUGCUUCUGUGGGAGACCAGGGCUCAGCAGCGAGCUCAGGGGUCCUGCCUGGCUGCUGCAGACACCCUGGGAGUGCUGGGUGAUGGGCUCUCACCCCACUGUAGGCUGAUGUGCUGACCUGACCCACUGUCUGAAGUGCAGGGAGGUACAGAGAUCGGUGACAAGAUGGACAUAAAAGGGUUGUUGGAUAUCCUAAAUCCUUAAAAAACUUUUACAAGGAGGCUGACAGAUAAAACUCACCUCUGGAUAAAGCAAGUGUGUCUCCAAUGAGCAGGAACACUCAUGAAAUGGAAACAGCUCUUGCUCGUGUUCGGUGCCCAGGGAUCAAGAAGGUUCUGCUCCCCUUAGGAGAAAUGGUACCUGAUGAAUGUUCUUCCUUGCAGAGAGAAAGCUACGGGAGGAAUGGCAUAAUUUGUCCCCUCUCUGUCAUCAGCAAGGUGAAGCCUCUGAAGAGGGUCUAAUGUUGGUUCUGCUAAUGCAGCACUUGGAAGUGGAAAUAACUUUUGGAAAUUUUAUAGGCCUCUAAACGUGGUAUCAACAGGUGAAAUGUAGCAGAUAGGACACUUCUCAGCACACCAGCAAGCACCAUUGUACACAUAGAAGCAUCUGUAUUUUAAAAGACAGAAUAUAGUUUAUUGGCUUUUUUGAAGUCUGUUUCCAAGCACAAACCCAGAAUCCCCCUGUGAUGUGCCUUUUGGUGAUUUAAGGGAUGCUGCCUAACUGGGUAUGGACACAGAGGUGGAAGACAUGUUUUACCAGCAGAAGGGUAAGGCAGCACAGAGCAGUACAAAGUCAGUGAACACCUGCAUCCAGAUCUGCACUGAAUGCCCCAUCAUAGUACUAAUUAAAGUACAAACUCAAUCAAAAUGCAAAGUUCAGAGAAAAUGUGGUUGCAGCUUUCUGUUUUCUUCCACAAGAAAGAAACAUGCUUGACAGUGUUUGCUUAUGUGCUCCGUAAAAAAAGAAGGGCAUUUUACUGUUUAGCUGCAAAACUUGCAGGUAGAUUUAUUAAUUUUCUGCAUAUGGAAUGCACCAGAUUUUACUGAUCUGGUUGGUUCUGCUCCAAAUAGAUAGAUUUUAUGGGUUUUUUUUUAGUUAACAUGAUCUUAUUUUGAGCUGAACAAAAAAGUGCAGAUAACUUUGAACACAAUUAUUUCUCCUAGCUCUUGUUAUUUUCAAUUUACUACAGCUUUUAUACUUUGUCAAGGCCAGGAUGGUAUUGUAUCUGUGGCCCAGCAAUUUAAAUUUCCAACUAAUGUUGGAAAUUCCAACUUCAGCUCAGUGAAAAAAUUAUAUUUCUAUAUGGAAAAAAGAUAAGAGCAAUAUUCUCUACUGCAAUAUACUCAAUCAAACUGCUUUUUAAAUCUGAGAGGUGAAACAGUAUUUUCCUUCAUUCUCAUUUUUGUUCUGAGUAUAAAUUUCAUCCUGUAGCUGAGAUUUUGUCUUGGUAAAGGCUUAAUUGAAAAGACUGAAUUCCAGAGAAAGUCCAAUUUUUGAGGUGAGUCAUAUUCAAGCUCUAAAAAUAUUGACAAUGUUUGAUUCUGAUUUUGAUUUUAAUCAUAAGCUUUCUCUGUAUUUCACUCAUGAACCAUGUCAGCAUGUACUGAUUUACAUGUAAAAAAGAAAAGUACAGAUUCACAGUAAAGGUCAGCUGUGCUGAAACAGAUCUCACUGGUGUGCAAAACUGAUAGCUACUGUGACUAGAUUUUAGCAGAUUUUAUAGGGUAAAGAACAUUGGGGGUAACAUUCAUGUAAUCUGCUGGGUGUUGUCCAUGA